This 380-nucleotide transfer-messenger RNA is filed under the name Saprospiraceae. RNAcentral describes it as "Lewinella sp003045895 Standard tmRNA". It matches the Rfam family "transfer-messenger RNA". Rfam says of the family: Bacterial tmRNA, also known as 10Sa RNA or SsrA, is named for its dual tRNA and mRNA-like properties. Its role is to liberate the mRNA from a stalled ribosome. To accomplish this part of the tmRNA is used as a reading frame that ends in a translation stop signal. RNAcentral also lists the same sequence under 1 other name. The record is from RNAcentral. Lineage: Bacteria; Pseudomonadati; Bacteroidota; Saprospiria; Saprospirales.
GGGGACGUUUUGGUAUCGACAGGAAAGUGAACGGUUUAGUAAGCAUGCCGGAGUACGACAGCUCAUCUCCGUUAUCAAACGGCUAUCAACCUUUUCAAAUGGCAAUACUCAGUAUGCCAUGGCUGCCUAAUUCUAGGAAUUAGAAGCCAUUGUGCCUCGCGUUUGACGCCUAAUACACAACGCGGCUGCACAUCAACCAACCCCUUAGGCUAGCGAUCCGUCUUACUCUGAACGGUUAGCGAAAUUCAGGAGUUAAGGUCAGUGUACGGGAGGUUUUCCAAUCCUACCACUGGCUCGAAAAUCCAAAUUGGAAAAUAAGCAUGUAGAAAGCUCUAUCGUGCUUUGUCUGGACCCGAGUUCGAGUCUCGGCGUCUCCACAG